UUCCGCCAGGUGCACCGAUUAGUAGCUAUGUACGGAACGAGUAAUGGCUGGAAGCAGCUAAGCGUGAAGCCCCCCUCAAGAUGAGAUUUCCCAAUUAGUAAGACCCCUUGAAGACGACGAGGUAGAUAGGUUGGGGGUGGAAGUGCAGUAAUGCAUGGAGCUGACCAAUACUAAUCGGUCGAGGGCUUAUCCUAAA
This 196-nucleotide ribosomal RNA is filed under the name Paenibacillus jamilae. RNAcentral describes it as "partial 23S ribosomal RNA". It matches the Rfam family "Bacterial large subunit ribosomal RNA", at positions 2724 to 2925 of the family's 2925-position model. Lineage: Bacteria; Bacillati; Bacillota; Bacilli; Caryophanales; Paenibacillaceae. The record is from RNAcentral.